UGUGUGUUACAAGUGUCACACGGUACUGCCGGUCUUAAGCCGGAGGAAGGUGGGGAUGACGUCAAGUCAGCAUGGCCUUUAUGUCCUGGGCUACACACACGCUACAAUGGCCAACACAAUAGGUUGCUAAGCCGCGAGGUGGAGCCAAUCCUCAAAGUUGGUCUCAGUUCAGAUUGCAGGCUGCAACCCGCCUGCAUGAAGAUGGAGUUGCUAGUAACCGCAGGUCAGCUAUACUGCGGUGAAUACGUUCCCGGGGCUU
RNAcentral lists this ribosomal RNA (259 nucleotides) under uncultured Leptolinea sp. RNAcentral's name for it is "partial 16S ribosomal RNA". It matches the Rfam family "Bacterial small subunit ribosomal RNA", at positions 1109 to 1382 of the family's 1533-position model. The record is from RNAcentral. Lineage: Bacteria; Bacillati; Chloroflexota; Anaerolineae; Anaerolineales; Anaerolineaceae.